RNAcentral lists this long non-coding RNA (1463 nucleotides) under Homo sapiens (human). Its description in RNAcentral is "non-protein coding lnc-DOK7-2:2". Lineage: Eukaryota; Metazoa; Chordata; Mammalia; Primates; Hominidae. The record is from RNAcentral.
AUUGAUUUGUUCUUAAGUAGUUCUGAGUCCUUCCUGCAUAUCAGGCAGGGACAAACGGGAAAGUCCCUGCCCUUGGCAAGUGCGGGGGAAAUGAAAUGAUUCUGCUCAGCCUCAUCCAUUGGUCUGAACAAUCACGUCUCAUGACCCCAGGGACACGGCUUCCCCUGAACGCGGAUCCUAGAGGCCAGGCAGAAGCAGCAUGGGUUUCCACUCACACGGUAGGUGGCUGUGCGAUUUCGUCUGGAGUCCCCGGACCCCUCCUCAUCCUUCCCAGGGUUGCUCUGAGGCCAUUCCUCGUCAUCUAGGAGGGGUCUACAUAAAAGCAUUUAUAAACAGCUCCAAAUGGGAGCCUGGCGCGCCCACCUUUGGAGCACUUUUCUCUACUGCAGAUUUAUCUACUGCUCGUGAAAUCUCUGGAUUUAACUGUGAUGAAAGACCGGAGGCUGAAGGAGAACUUCAAUAUCAUAUAUUUUAAAGGUUGACUCACAGUUUGGAACAAGAAUUAAAGAACCACGAACUUCAAGGUAAAACGGGCAAUGGCGUUGGGGCAAGCCUCUCUGCAUCUGUGUGUCCAGCCUCUCCUGCGUGCCAGAAGUCCCCAGGCAGGAGUGUGGUGGGACAUCCGGCUGGGGUAAGGACAGGCACCCUCCCACUGUGUCAGGGCCCAGAGAGUGGGUGGAGAAGCUCUGCAAGAGACCUGUGCAAGGGCGCCUUGUAGGAGCCUGCCGUCCCCACAGGGGUGUUUGUGGAUAACACUUGGGGAGCCCUGGCCUUUUGGGGUCACGGAGGGCUUGGCCUCUCACCUCAGAGCUGCAGAGGAGACGCUUCUACAUCAGGACAUCAGAAGCUGGAACGGGGAUGGCCGGCGAGGGGCCUCUUGUUGGGGUCACAGAGAUGGGUCGCAGAGAUGGCCUGUGUGGAAGGUUGGAUUCUCACCCCACCUCUGCCCCUAGAUGUCCUGGUGACCCUCCCCUCUGUAGUCUUGGUUUUUUGCAAAACACUUAUGACCUCCUGCCAUACUGGGUACUUUGCUUAGUCUGGAUGAAGUGCUUCAUGCCUGUAAUCCAAGCACUUUGAGAGGCUGAGGCGGGCAGAUGGCUUGAGCCCAGGAGUUUGAGACCAGCCUGGAAAACAUAGAGAAACCCCGUCUCAAUAUAAGAAGAAGAAGAAAAAGAAAAAAAAAAAAUCAAAAACGAAAACAACACAAAUUUUAGAGUGGUGAUGUAAAAUUCUCAAACAAUGAGAUAGAUAAAAAGUACGCAGCCAAAAAGUGCAGGAAGAAGUGUUAUGGAGAUGGAGCAGGCCCUUCGUAAAAACACGAUGUUGGUUUUCUGGAUUUUGGGAGGCCUCACAAAACCUGGAUCAGACUCGCCCACUGCCCUGUGUCUGCCCUCCCGACCCCCUCUCCUGCCCAGCAGGGAUGUGGGUGGCAGUGGUGCUGUGUGGAGGGUGGCGGGAGGACC